AGUCGAACGGUAACAGAAAGCAGCUUGCUGCUUUGCUGACGAGUGGCGGACGGGUGAGUAAUGUCUGGGAAACUGCCCGAUGGAGGGGGAUAACUACUGGAAACGGUAGCUAAUACCGCAUAACGUCGCAAGACCAAAGAGGGGGACCUUCGGGCCUCUUGCCAUCGGAUGUGCCCAGAUGGGAUUAGCUAGUAGGUGGGGUAAAGGCUCACCUAGGCGACGAUCCCUAGCUGGUCUGAGAGGAUGACCAGCCACACUGGAACUGAGACACGGUCCAGACUCCUACGGGAGGCAGCAGUGGGGAAUAUUGCACAAUGGGCGCAAGCCUGAUGCAGCCAUGCCGCGUGUAUGAAGAAGGCCUUCGGGUUGUAAAGUACUUUCAGCGGGGAGGAAGGGAGUAAAGUUAAUACCUUUGCUCAUUGACGUUACCCGCAGAAGAAGCACCGGCUAACUCCGUGCCAGCAGCCGCGGUAAUACGGAGGGUGCAAGCGUUAAUCGGAAUUACUGGGCGUAAAGCGCACGCAGGCGGUUUGUUAAGUCAGAUGUGAAAUCCCCGGGCUCAACCUGGGAACUGCAUCUGAUACUGGCAAGCUUGAGUCUCGUAGAGGGGGGUAGAAUUCCAGGUGUAGCGGUGAAAUGCGUAGAGAUCUGGAGGAAUACCGGUGGCGAAGGCGGCCCCCUGGACGAAGACUGACGCUCA
RNAcentral lists this ribosomal RNA (700 nucleotides) under uncultured bacterium. RNAcentral describes it as "bacterial SSU rRNA". It matches the Rfam family "Bacterial small subunit ribosomal RNA", at positions 60 to 749 of the family's 1533-position model. The record is from RNAcentral.